RNAcentral lists this ribosomal RNA (481 nucleotides) under Mammaliicoccus sciuri. RNAcentral's name for it is "bacterial SSU rRNA". It matches the Rfam family "Bacterial small subunit ribosomal RNA", at positions 21 to 484 of the family's 1533-position model. Lineage: Bacteria; Bacillati; Bacillota; Bacilli; Caryophanales; Staphylococcaceae. The record is from RNAcentral.
GGCUCAGGAUGAACGCUGGCGGCGUGCCUAAUACAUGCAAGUCGAGCGAACAGAUGAGAAGCUUGCUUCUCUGAUGUUAGCGGCGGACGGGUGAGUAACACGUGGGUAACCUACCUAUAAGACUGGGAUAACUCCGGGAAACCGGGGCUAAUACCGGAUAAUAUUUUGAACCGCAUGGUUCAAUAGUGAAAGACGGUUUCGGCUGUCACUUAUAGAUGGACCCGCGCCGUAUUAGCUAGUUGGUAAGGUAACGGCUUACCAAGGCGACGAUACGUAGCCGACCUGAGAGGGUGAUCGGCCACACUGGAACUGAGACACGGUCCAGACUCCUACGGGAGGCAGCAGUAGGGAAUCUUCCGCAAUGGGCGAAAGCCUGACGGAGCAACGCCGCGUGAGUGAUGAAGGUCUUCGGAUCGUAAAACUCUGUUGUUAGGGAAGAACAAAUUUGUUAGUAACUGAACAAGUCUGACGGUACCUAACC